This 173-nucleotide ribosomal RNA is filed under the name Planctomycetaceae bacterium. Its description in RNAcentral is "partial 23S ribosomal RNA". It matches the Rfam family "Bacterial large subunit ribosomal RNA", at positions 2753 to 2925 of the family's 2925-position model. The record is from RNAcentral. Lineage: Bacteria; Pseudomonadati; Planctomycetota; Planctomycetia; Planctomycetales; Planctomycetaceae.
CUACGGAAUGGAUAAACGCUGAAAGCAUAUAAGCGUGAAGUCGGCUCCAAGAUAAGGUUUCGUUGCACUUCGGUGCGAAAGUCCCCUGGAAGACGACCAGGUUGAUAGGUCGGAUGUGUAAGCCCUGUAAGGGGUUCAGCUAACCGAUACUAAAGGACGAAUGCUUGAUCACA